CAUCAUCAUUCACCUCGAUUCAAAUAUGAUGUUUUUUUAAGUUUUCACGGCAAUGACACCCGUGAUAAUUUUACAAAUCAUUUAUAUUCCGAGUUGAUAGGCAAUGUCAUUAAGGCCUAUAGGGAUGAAGAAGGAAUUGAGCAAGGAACAUUCGUCGCCCCAGAGCUCAUGAAAGCAAUAAAAGAAUCCAAGUUCGCAAUUGUCGUCCUUUCAGAAAACUAUGCUUUACUCAGGAUGGUGCUUGAAUGAACUUGCCUAGAUUGUUGCAUGCAUAGAAGAGACGGGUCUAAAAGUUAUCUUUUAUCAUGUGGAUCCCUCUAAUGUAAGGCAGCAAAAUGGAACUUUUGCUUUAGCCUUUGCUAAACAUGAAGAGGACUCCAGAGUUAAGAGUGAGAAGAUACAAACAUGGAAAGAUGCUUUGAAAUGCGUGAUCCAUAUUGCCGGGUUUGUUGUAGAAGAUAGCACAUCUGAAUCAACAGUUGUCCAGCAUAUCAGUGGAGACAUAAAGCGUGAAUUGUAUGCAUCAUUUGUUGGAGGGGCCUUUCUGGAAGCAAAGCUUGGAGAAGUAUUUGGGGUGUUGCAUGACACAGUUAAGAAUGUGGGAAGCAAAGUCCUCACGUUCAAAUCCUUCUUUAAAAACUUCGAAUCCAAUCUAGAUCUUUUAGCACCUGUGGUCGAAGAGGUAAAAGAAAAACUUGAUUGCCCAGAACAGGAAACACGGAGCUUGAUCAAAAAAAUGAAGGAUGUCAAGCAGCUCAUUGACAUGUGCUCAGAUAUCGGAGAUAUGAACAAAUUUUCCGCAUUUACACCAACAAACUAAUGAAUUUGGAUGAGGCCAUUGUGAGGUUCUGUAAGGUUCAUAUGAAUGCACAGAACAGGGGAUAUUUUGCAGAUUUUGGAUUAGUGGAAACCUACUCAGGAGGAAAUGAAGUUGCCCAUCCUGAAGAUAGGUAGGUUGUCAUGCUCAGUUCCUAGACCCCCGGAUUUUACUGUUGGGCUGGAUGUGCCUCUGAAAGUGUUGAAAACUCAGCUGUUGAAGGAGAAGCAGCAGCAACUUCUACUGACUGCUCGUGGCGUAUGCGGGAAGACUGCAUUUGUGAAAAUGCUAGGUCAUGACAAGGAAAUUAUUGGCAAAUUGAAGGAUAAUUUUUUUGGCCCCGUUUCUAAAAUUCUCAACCUGAUGGUCAUUGUGCAAAGACUAUUUCAUCAUAUAUGUGGUCAGGAGCCUGAGUUCCUAAGUGAUGAAGAUGCAAUCUACCAGCUGCAGGAACUGUUGACAAAAAUUGGAUCCACUCCUAUAUUAUUGAUCUUGGAUGAUGUUUGGUCUGGAUCAGAAUUCGGUCUUGAAAAGUUUAAGUUUGAUAUGCCAAAAUACAAUAUUCUGGUGACCUCAAGAACUAUAUUUCCAGAAUUUAGCUUUACAUAUAACUUAAAAUCGUGAAAUGAUGAAGAUGCAACGACUCUGCUUCGUCACUCAGCAUCUCUACAAGAAUUCCAGUUUAAAUUAUUGAAAAGAUAGUGAGACGCUGUGGGAGGUUCCCACUGGCCCUUGAAGUGAGUGGCAAAUCACUCAAAGAGAAGCCUGUGGAGGUUUGGCGCAGUAGAGCUAGGAAAUGGUCUAAUGGUCAUUCUAUUCUCAAGUCUAGUCCUGAUCUGCUUCAAUGUCUUCAUAAAAGCCUAGAAUUUUCGGAUGAUGAGGACAUUUUGAAAGAGUGUUUUAUGGAUCUAGCUUCAUUUCCUGAAGGCCAUGAAGGCCAUGGUUACUUUUCCUACCCUAAUUGAUAUGUGGGCUGAAUUACAUGAACUAGAUGAACAUGGCAAUGGUGCCAUUGACAAUUUACAUGAACUCACCUCCCGGAAUCUGGCUACUCUAGUGAGGACAAGGAAAGAAUCGAAAUAUACAAGUGAGAACAACAAUUAUUAUACUUGUUGUUAUGAAGACUUUGUCACACAACAUGAUCCUAUUAGAGAGCUAGCUAUUUAUGAGGGCAGCCGGGGGGCCAAUCGGACAAAGGAAACGAUUGUUUAUGGACAUAAAUAAAAACACUCUACCGAAGUGGUGUACGAAAAAGGAUCAGCACCUCAUCAAUGCCCGCCUAUUAUCU
Quercus lobata is the source of this 2105-nucleotide long non-coding RNA. RefSeq lists it as uncharacterized. The transcript is spliced from 6 exons. Lineage: Eukaryota; Viridiplantae; Streptophyta; Magnoliopsida; Fagales; Fagaceae. The record is from RefSeq and is a predicted model, not a curated record.